This 684-nucleotide long non-coding RNA is filed under the name Elaeis guineensis (African oil palm). RNAcentral describes it as "long non-coding RNA (EGUI_LNC002275)". Lineage: Eukaryota; Viridiplantae; Streptophyta; Magnoliopsida; Arecales; Arecaceae. The record is from RNAcentral.
AAUGCGAAUUAAAAAUCUGGUAUUGUUUACGUGUGUAGAUUUUUAAAUCUGAUUUUUGAUCAGAUUUUUAUUAUGAAAUCAGAUCUGAUUUCAAUCUGAUUUUCUUAAAAUUUUGAUCUGAUUUUGAUCAGAUCUUAAUGAAUAGGAAUCAAAUCAGAUUUUGUAGUUUUUCUGUAAAGAUCAUGGAUAUGUUUUGAAUAGAUUUUCAAAUCUAUUUUAGAAUAGAUUUUUCAAAGACAUUCAAAUCUAUUUUUCAAUAGAUUUUUAGAUCUAUUUUGAAUAGACUUUUCAAGCAUUUUAAAGUUGUUUUUGAACAGAUUAUUAGAUCUGUUUUGAACAAAUUUUUCAAAUAUUUUUGGAUCUAUUUUUGAAUAGAUUUGUAGAUCUUGUUCUGAACAGGCUUUUGGUUCUAUUUUGAACAGAAUUUUGUAGUAUUUCGACCUAUUUUAAACCAAAUUUUCAGAUCUAAUUUUUGAAUGGAUUUUCAUGAAAUUUUAGAUCUGAAAUAGAUAAUUUAUAUGAUGUAUAAAUUUAGGUUCAGAUCUGAUAUCAUUUGUGAUGUAAUGUCAUGAUCUAAUUAGAUUAGAUAAAAAUUCUGCUGUUGUCCUAUUCUGCACAUGAUUUAAACUUGAAAUUUGGUUUAUGCAUGUAUGAUAUGUAAUGUAGAAUUCUUCUUAUUAGCCC